Oncorhynchus tshawytscha (Chinook salmon) is the source of this 3793-nucleotide long non-coding RNA. NCBI's taxonomy places the organism in Eukaryota, Metazoa, Chordata, Actinopteri, Salmoniformes, Salmonidae. The record is from Ensembl.
GUUGUAUUGUAUGCAGGCUCGCAGAAAAAGGGCUUUGUUUAUGUUCAGCCUUUUGAUUUGGCGUUUCUGUUUAACGUUGCUUGUGGCAUUGAAUUUAUAUAGACAUGUCAUGCUGCUUCCUAUUCAAGAUACUGAAGGCCUUUUUUGUGCCUCUCUUCAGUGGAGUGUUCUCCGCAUAGACAACAGAAGGGUACAGGAGGUAAACAGGAAGUGAACUGUGUGUGUGGUGUGUGAUGUCCCUUCUCACAACAGUCAGCAGUUUCAAGUGCAUUCAUACAUUGGUGUGACCGUGACAGAUAAGGUACAACAUCCCUCCUAUCCGUUUCAUCGGUUUAAAAAAAGAUGCCCCCCCCACACUUUUGAGAUGAAGUUGGAAGUGAUCUCAUUUAACUGAAUUGGGGAGAAACUGAGAGCAUACGCUAUUUAUUAACUACUUGCAUAAGGUGAGUUAACUGCUUGCAUAUUUUAAGCAAUUUUUAAAGUUGUACAACUUUUUGGUAAACAUUUCGUGCUUCUUAUAAUUAAAAAAUGAAACACCAUACUGACAAUUUGGAUGACAUUUUAGAAUCAGUAACAAAAUCUUUUAGCCAUAUAUACACACGUGUGUACCACAUGACAGGAUUCAAUACAAAGUUAAUUAACAAAUCUUACACUUUAUAAUGUAAUUUCAUUAGUGCUAAUGUUCCCCUGUCUAAAAUGUCAACCAAAUUUCGCAAAUGCAUCUGAUGUUUACAAGCAAUCCUGUAGAAAUAUGUUGUUAUUACUGUAAACAGUAUAAUCUCCAGGUCUACAUACUGUAGCUAUAUAGUGUUUCACAUCUAAUUCACAAGUCUACAUCUCUACAUGGCUCUGUAGUGUUUUCACAUCUAAUUCACAGGUCUACAUCUCUACAUGGCUCUGUAGUGUUUUCACAUCUAAUUCACAAGUCUACAUCUCUACAUGGCUCUGCUAGUGUUUUCAUCUAUUCACAGUCUACAUUCUACAUGCUCUGUAGUGUUUUCACAUCUAAUUCACAGGUCUACAUCUCUACAUGGCUCUGUAGUGUUUUCACAUUUAAUUCAAAGGUCUACAUCUCUACAUGGCUCUGUAGUGUUUUCACAUCUAAUUCACAGGUCUACAUCUCUACAUGGCUCUGUAGUGUUUUCACAUCUAAUUCACAGGUCUACAUGGCUCUGUAGUGUUUUCACAUCUAAUUCACAAGUCUACAUCUCUACAUGGCUCUGUAGUGUUUUCACAUCUAAUUCACAGGUCUACAUGGCUCUGUAGUGUUUUCACAUUUAAUUCACAGGUCUACAUCUCUACAUGGGCUCUGUAGUGUUUUACAUCUAAUUCACAGUUCUACAUCUCUACAUGGCUCUGUAGUGUUUUCACAUCUAAUUCACAGGUCUACAUCUCUACAUGGCUCUGUAGUGUUUUCACAUCUAAUUUACAAGUCUACAUCUCUAUAUGGCUCUGUAGUGUUUUCUGUGGCUUACUGCCGGUGUAGCACGCCUGUUUGUGUGUGUGUUGUUUCUGUGAGUAUAUCGUAGUUUUAGUAGUCCACUGUAUCAAAACUGCUGUCUGCUUGCCCCGUCCUCAUAUCUAAAGAGCAGGGCAGGCUUCUAAUAAUGGGUACAUGUAGGGGUGUGCGCUUGUGUUUGCUUUACAUCGUCUUGGAUACAGUAAAGUCUGUUUUCUGAUGGUUUGUGUCUUGGUAUGCAUCACAAAUUAGCAACUGACUUUUUGAUGACUUCAUGAUUUUUAAGUGAUGACAUAAUCAACAAAACUUGAGUAUUUAUAGUAGUAACAGUGACAUGGCAAAGCCAUUCUCAUUAGGCUGAUGUCAAACCACAGCUACUGACUACUGUUACCACCUCAGCAGUGAUAUGCAUUCAAUAAGGUACCAGUUGUUUAUGAAAAAGGAUUGCAGCUAUAUGAUGGGUACUGGAUGUGUUUAAACCUCUUAACCUAAUUGUGACAGCAUUGACUAUGAUAUCUUACAAAAUAUAAAUAAGUAUCUAUUUCUUUUGUUUUCUGGGGGGUGGGGGGUGUGGCCUAGCCAGUCUCCAGACCUUAAUCCCAUAGAAAAUAUGUGGAGGGAGCUGAAGGUUUGAGUUGCCAAACAUCAGCCACGAAACCUUAAUGACUUGGAGAAAUCUGCAAAGAGGAGUGGGACAAAAUCCCUCCUGAGAUGUGUGCAAAUCUGGUGGCCAACUACAAGAAACUUCUGACCUCUGUGAUUACCAACAAGGGUUUUGCCACCAAGUACUAAGUUAUGUUUUGCAGAGGGGUCAAAUACUUAUUUCCCUCAUUAAAAUGCAAAUCAAUUUAUAACAUUUUUGACAUGCGUUUUUCUGGAUUUUUUUGUUGUUAUUCUGUCUCUCACUGUUCAAAUAAACCUACCAUUAAAAUUAUAGACGAAUCAUGUCUUUGUCAGUGGGAAAUGUACAAAAUCAGCAGGGGAUCAAAUACUUUUUUCCCUCACUGUAUGUGUGUGUAAAUAUUGUACAUAAUCAAUGCUGUAAUUUGGGGACUCUGUAUGCUUUUUGAUUGAGUGAUGCGUCUCCAGCUUUGUUCAAGCGAUAACUCCAUGUCGUACAUCUGUGUCUCCUCGACUACUGUGUAUAUAAACUUGCAUGCGUGUAUGAAAACGUAUUUUUCUUCUUCUACCAGAAUAAGGUUUUUUUAUUUUUAAAGUUAAUGUGUCACUAUAGUUAGUUUUUGUUUAGCCAUUUUGUUGAAGUGAACAAGGUGUGUGCUCAGAUUAAUAUAGAUGUGUAUAUUAUUGUGAAAGGAAUGCCAAUCGUGGGCAGGUCUAUAAACAUGAAGCUGUGUAGAGAAAUAUUUGCCAAACGAUGCCCUGCGAAUAUUGUUUUAAUUAAAGGGGAUUGGCAGGAAUAGCUGGCAGUGCUGUUUAUGAGCGUCAAGUAUAUGAAAUAAAGAAUGAUGUUCUCUAGCAAAUUAAAUCAUGUGUUCCUCUGGAUAUAAAGCUACACAACAUUGAGUACAUUGCAGCUUACAUAAAUAGGUCUACUGCAGGUCAUUUUGGAGACAAUAUUAUGUCAGAGUGCAUGCACACUGGAGAGCAUGGGCGCAAAAACACUACACCUCAAUAACAAUAGCAUUGUUUAGUUCUCACAAUCACAACUCAAAAAAUGUAAUCGUAUGAGUUACUGUGCCUUCAAUGUUUGCAAAUCAGAUAUCAAUUGUUGUUGGGAAUAAAAAAGGUCAAUUUUCAAUUAGUAUUGUUGGGUUCUGAGAAUAUGAAAUAUACUUAUUCAUGUCACUGAGGAAGAGAGGGUAAUGUAUGAUGUUUACAUUAUGUCAGGAUAUGUUAUUGUUAGCCAUCAGGGAUCCUAUGGGAGGGAUCCUCUGGGAGGAGAAGAGACACAGUCUGGUACCAGGCACCAAGACAGACGUGAGUUGAGCAAGGAAGCGAUCACAUGUGGCAGGCAUUGAUAAGGGGAGAGAUCUUUGGAUUAGACAUUAAGGGGGUUGAGGUCAGGUCAGGUCACCUUAAGGGAGAAGGAAGGGUUUAUUACCCCAUCACUUCGUCUUCCUGUCGAACCAUGAAAUAUGUCAGGGUUGGAGAGAAGGAGGAGUGCAUCUAAAUUGGAGUAUAUAUACUUGUGUUGGUGGAAACAUGUUUUGUCUGAUGCAGCUGUAUUGACCCUCUGGGAGAAUUAACUUGGUUAAGCUUUCAUAGUGUCCGUAGAGUUUUUUACUCUGAGAAUUAGAACCUAACAGUAUAGUCUACUAUAAUUCCAGUCUAUAAAGUAGGAAAAUAUACAGUGGAACCAAAGUAAGGGCUUAU